RNAcentral lists this ribosomal RNA (433 nucleotides) under uncultured bacterium. RNAcentral describes it as "partial 16S ribosomal RNA". It matches the Rfam family "Bacterial small subunit ribosomal RNA", at positions 29 to 507 of the family's 1533-position model. The record is from RNAcentral.
AACGAACGCUGGCGGCAUGCCUAACACAUGCAAGUCGAACGAGACCUUCGGGUCUAGUGGCGCACGGGUGCGUAACGCGUGGGAACCUGCCCUUAGGUUCGGAAUAACUCCCCGAAAGGGGUGCUAAUACCGGAUAAUGUCUUCGGACCAAAGAUUUAUCGCCUUUGGAUGGGCCCGCGUUGGAUUAGCUAGUUGGUAGGGUAAAAGCCUACCAAGGCGACGAUCCAUAGCUGGUCUGAGAGGAUGAUCCGCCACACUGGGAAUGAGACACGGCCCAGACUCCUACGGGAGGCAGCAGUGGGGAAUAUUGGACACUGGGCGAAAGCCUGAUCCAGCAAUGCCGCGUGAGUGAUGAAGGCCUUAGGGUUGUAAAGCCCUUUUACCCGGGAUGAUAAUGACAGUACCGGGAGAAUAAGCUCCGGCUAACUCCGUG